This is a long non-coding RNA of Cottoperca gobio, 4033 nucleotides long. Ensembl lists it as uncharacterized. Lineage: Eukaryota; Metazoa; Chordata; Actinopteri; Perciformes; Bovichtidae. The record is from Ensembl.
AAAAAGUUAUAGCUAAGUAAGUUUAGAAAGAGUUUGGAAAGUAACUUUACUCAAGUACUGUACUUCAGUACAAUCUAGAGGAAUUUGUACUUGCUAUUUUAUACCUUUACUUCACUACAUUUCAGAGUGAAAUAUUGUACUUUUUACUUAUUAUUUUACUUUACACAUCAAUAAUUUAUAUUCAAAUCAUAUGAUCACUUCAUGAAUUAUGAUCCACUGUUAUACAUUAAAGGUUCAAUAUAUAAGAUAUGCCAGAAUUUAAACUUAAAACAGAAAGGGGCUGUAAAGGGCAAUUCUGCAUAAGAGUACUUUUACUUUGAUACUUAAGGUACAUUGUGUUGCUCAUACUGCUAUAGCUUUUUAAGUAAAUGCUUUACAUGCUGGACUUUAAACACUGUUUUUACACUUACUCAUUUAAGAUUCUGAAUACUUAUUUGACCACUGGUGAAGUACAUGAAAACUAUUUAUUACAAAACCAGAACCUAACAGCACCUGAAGAUCAAAUAAAAAACCUUUUAGUCCGGUCCCUGCAAAACAUAAUGGAUCACGCUUCUGAAAUUGGCAGUUGCAAUGAAAGUAAAAUCAAGAGGAGGAUGUGACGUGCGUCAUGUUUUUCACAGUUGUGGAUCCCUGCAAUUGGCCAGAGGUGGACUCCCAGCCUCUGAACCUUGAAGAUUCCUGGAGGCUGCGUGUCGCCUCUGCUCGGGUGUAUUCCACCGUAAAGAACAGGGACAUGGAGCACUUUGAGAGAGCGCUGGGCUUUCUGGAAGCCACUUACAGACUUCUACCCAGACUGGUGUCUCCCAUCAAACACAUGAAGAUCAUGUUUGGCCUCAAGACCAUGGUAUGAAGAUGAGUAGCAUUCAUUAAUUCAAGCAUGUGCAAUGGCUGUUACUUACAUGUUCCAGCUGUGGUUUAGGCUCUUUUAUAUUUUUACAUUUCUAUUUAAUUUUCCUGCUUUUUAUGUUUAUCUCCAUCUCAAUUUCUCUCUCUUCUAUUGUCACUCCAUCCAGGUGAUUAUGUGGAUGCUCAGAGAGGGCCGAGGAAUGGUUGAUACUGUGUUUAAAAUCAGCAAGUUCUUCCCAAGUAAACUCCCUCAAUACCAAGAUCAAUGUAGCCAACAUAAAAUAUUCCUAAUGAGGAAGAACCACCUGGACUUCAAGGCUCUGGCACAAGUACUUGCUUUGGACAAGGACACAUGUAAAGAUUAUGUUAAGAAUCGGAUGGAGGAGCAGUAUGGUGAACAUUAUGCCCAGAAAGUAGAGGACAGACUUCUGCACUAUCUGCACGAGUUGGAGACUGUGUUACCAGGAGAUACCUUCAUUGAUAAGUUACUGAAGAAGGAAAUCCCUGCGUCUGAGGAGGAGAAGCUAUUGUUGGAAGCAAUUACCUCUGACUCCAUGAACAUAGCAACAACUCUGAAGAAACUGCUGCGCUGCGAUGUUGUUUCCUGUCGUCGGGGCAAGAUUUCUCAGUCAUCGGCACAUGGAAUGAAUGGAUUGGAAAACUCUCAACUCUCAAAGUCUGUUCUCUUUGGCAGUUCUUCAAAGGCUCUCCUCCAAACAGAGGAGGAUGGUGAGGUAGUCAAGAGGGUGGAGGAAGACAGUGGUGACAAGGAAAAUAAAGAAUUCAGUGAGAGUAGCAGUGAACACGUUCAGGAAGCCGCCUCCUCCCCUCAGUUCUGCUCUAAACACCAAAGAUGGGUGAGGAGCAUCCUGCAGGAGUGCUCAGAAGAGCUGCCGCUUCAAGCCAAUGUUUCUUUGUCUCCCUUACUGUUCCAGUCUUCCUCAUCCAUCACUUCAUCACAGGACCUCACACCCUCUGACCUCAUUCCUUGCCCCCCUGACCAACAGCCUUCAAAGACCUCCACCCAUCUUCCGACAGCAGCUCAGGCAUCUGAACAAGCAAACCCCAAAGAUGAGCAGAGCGCUGGAUCAGCAAGUGAUGCGUCUCAAACAGAACUUAUGCUACAGCCGUCUUCGUCCAGAGACACUCGGCUGCCUAUUCUGUUGUCGCCGGUGGUCCGACUGAUAGACAUUGCCUCCAUCAGAAUGAUCUACCAUUCCUUUAAACCCCAUCAAGCUCCUCUAAAUCCCUGCACCAUGUACAGUAACAAACAUACAUUUUCGACUUCUAGUCUUCAGAUGCUAACCUCUCCACACCGCCCUACUUUAGGGAACAAUGCUCUACCACGAGGAACGAUGAAACAGUCUGUGCUCGGUCAACCCGACACUGUGGUCCCAACAAAUCCCCAGAACACAACAUACAAAUCAGCUCCUGUAUCUCAAGAUGCACCUACCUCUACCAGAUGUCAAACACCAAUACAACAAUCUUUUUCCAAACUUUCAACAAAGUCCAGAAAGGCUUGUACUACCGCCAGACAUUCACAAGCUCUGGACAGAUUCAGUGUUUCUGGGCCUCCAACAGAAGAAGCUUCUACCUCUACUUCCCCUUCAGGGACUCUAUCCUCAGUCUGUGCUGAUAUCCAAUUCCCUUUAUCUUCUGUAUCAUCUCGACAAGUUGUCCCUCAGAACUCCAUAAAACCUCAUCCUCAUACACCCCAUAUCAGUCCUUUUCAAUCAAAGACCUUACCAUGCUCCACUGUCAUCUCCUCGGCCUCCAACUCUGAUCGCCUGGUUGUCAGGUCUGAGACCAGCAGAGUCCAGAGAGCUGAGCUGAGGUUAUCACUGGCAAGUCAGGCUGUGUUGCUGCAGUCUAAGUUGCUCCAGCCCUACGUGACACUUAACAGACUGAGCGUUCAGGAGUGUUACAGAGUGACAAAGUGGAGAUCCUCCACCAGAUAUGCAGAGCCUGUGGUACAAGGCAGCAAUGAUGACAAUGAUGAGGACAGGAGGGUAGAGGAGGAAAAAGAUGCAGGUUCUCUUGAUUUGAACACUCUUUACACCAGUCAAUCCUCAAGUAGUGACGAGGACUCACUUGAUUGCGACCCUGAUUACAAGCCUUGCUUUAAAAAGAAAAGACUUCUCUUAGAGUAUGAAACUGCAAGGAGCCUGCAUCAUGUAUGAGAACAUUCUAACAUGCGGACUACAGCCUUACUACAGCCUGACUUACUGUAUACAGGCUUUUUAGCAGCAAUACGGAUAUCGAUAUUUAGAGUUUAAGAACUCAGGUAAUGAUUUAUUGGCCAAGAGUACAUUUUAUACAACUUUGAUAUGGAUCCAUUAGAUACAUUUAAAAAAAGAAUCGUGACCAAGUUGCAUAAGCGGAACAUUUUACAUCAAACUUAAAAUGAAAUCAACUUUCUCAACGUGCUCUAUGGUCUAUAAACAAAGUAAUGGUGACGCUGUUUCUAAAUGACAACAAACCUACCGCCCACCAUCUUUUGUCAGUUCUCAAUUAUUAUCGUAGCAUUUCUCUUAAAUAUUUGGGUGUUUUGUAAUAAAAGAAAAUGGUUUAUCACUGUAGAUUUGUUGACAAAUCAGAAUAAAUAACCUUGUGGGGUUUUCAGCAGAGAUGUUUUCUGUGGGUCAGUCGGUCGGUCCAGCAACACUUUGGUCCAGAAUGAAAUAUCUCUACAACUGUUAAAUUGAUUGCCAUGACAUUUUUGAAGGCUGGCAGUGCUGUAGAAUCAUAGUGUAAUGGUCAUUUUUAUCCUGACUUGUACUCUCCUAUUCUUUUAGUAUGCUCAUUUAUGUUUGUCCUACUUGCAGUGAUUAGGACCAGAGCACACUCUGGUCAUGUUCCCCUUGUAUUCUUGUAUCUCUUAAUGUGUCAGCUUGCAUUCCUAUAUCUCUAGAUGUGUCAGCUUGUACCUCUUGUAUCAGCUAGAUGUGCGUAGUUGCACACACACCCGAUUGUCUGUAAACAUUGUCACCCACUUGGCCACUAUAUAAUCUAAUUGUAUUCUCUGUUCGUAGAGCUUCAUGGUAGAGUGUUUGAACGUCACACUAGACCGUUUGACACUUUGUUUUGUUGUUCCAUUUCUGCAGAAAUAAAGAGCUCACUUCUUUAACCAAGUAUCUUUAUUUCAGUAUAAUAGAUUCACUUCUCACAACAACCCUUUGGUUUAGUU